UACAGGGGGGCAAGCGUUGUUCGGAAUUACUGGGCGUAAAGCGUACGCAGGCGGCUUUGCAAGACAGGUGUGAAAUCCCCGGGCCUAACCUGGGAACUGCAUUUGUGACUGCAUGGCUAGAGUUUGUCAGAGGGGGGUGGAAUUCCACGUGUAGCAGUGAAAUGCGUAGAUAUGUGGAGGAACACCGAUGGCGAAGGCAGCCCCCUGGGAUGUGACUGACGCUCAUGUACGAAAGCGUGGGGAGCAAACAGG
RNAcentral lists this ribosomal RNA (252 nucleotides) under uncultured bacterium. RNAcentral's name for it is "partial 16S ribosomal RNA". It matches the Rfam family "Bacterial small subunit ribosomal RNA", at positions 524 to 776 of the family's 1533-position model. The record is from RNAcentral.